AAGUCGUAACAAGGUCUCCGUUGGUGAACCAGCGGAGGGAUCAUUAUAGAGUUAUACAAAAACUCCUAAAACCCAUUGUGAAAAUACCAUAAUUGUUGCCUCGGCGGGUCGUUCUACCCUGUAGUUUAGUUACCCUGUAACUCCUCUACCCUGUAGUGCACCUAAGAUCCGCCGAAGGUCCAUCAACCAAACUCGUUACAUUGCAACUCUGAGCAUUUCAAAACAGAUAAAGUUAAAAACUUUCAACAACGGAUCUCUUGGUUCUG
RNAcentral lists this unclassified non-coding RNA (266 nucleotides) under fungal sp. Its description in RNAcentral is "partial internal transcribed spacer region". The stretch from base 1 to 46 matches the Rfam family "Eukaryotic small subunit ribosomal RNA", at positions 1786 to 1831 of the family's 1831-position model. Lineage: Eukaryota; Fungi. The record is from RNAcentral.